GGGUGCGAGCUGGCUGUACCGGUUGAGCCUGUACCGGCCUGUCACGCCGGAGGUCGCGGGUUCGAGUCCCGUCGCUCCCG
RNAcentral lists this transfer RNA (80 nucleotides) under Actinomycetota bacterium. RNAcentral describes it as "Actinobacteria bacterium tRNA-Asp". It matches the Rfam family "tRNA". Rfam says of the family: Transfer RNA (tRNA) molecules are approximately 80 nucleotides in length. Their secondary structure includes four short double-helical elements and three loops (D, anti-codon, and T loops). The record is from RNAcentral. Lineage: Bacteria; Bacillati; Actinomycetota.